RNAcentral lists this ribosomal RNA (243 nucleotides) under uncultured bacterium. RNAcentral describes it as "partial 16S ribosomal RNA". It matches the Rfam family "Bacterial small subunit ribosomal RNA", at positions 88 to 334 of the family's 1533-position model. The record is from RNAcentral.
CCGGCGAGUGGCGAACGGGUGAGUAAAGCGUCGGAACGUACCGAGUAAUGGGGGAUAACUGUCCGAAAGGACAGCUAAUACCGCAUACGCUCUGAGGAGGAAAGCGGGGGACCUUCGGGCCUCGCGUUAUUCGAGCGGCCGACGUCUGAUUAGCUAGUUGGUGAGGUAAAGGCUCACCAAGGCGACGAUCAGUAGCGGGUCCGAGAGGAUGAUCCGCCACACUGGGACUGAGACACGGCCCAG